GACCUCUUCGAUGGCCUAGUGGUUAGAGUGUCUGCCUCAGAUGUGGGAGGGCACGGGUUCAAAGCUCGGUCGAGUCA
Potamilus streckersoni is the source of this 77-nucleotide non-coding RNA. NCBI's taxonomy places the organism in Eukaryota, Metazoa, Mollusca, Bivalvia, Unionida, Unionidae. The record is from the annotation of a GenBank genome assembly.